This 279-nucleotide ribosomal RNA is filed under the name uncultured bacterium. Its description in RNAcentral is "partial 16S ribosomal RNA". It matches the Rfam family "Bacterial small subunit ribosomal RNA", at positions 506 to 784 of the family's 1533-position model. The record is from RNAcentral.
UGCCAGCCGCCGCGGUAAUACGGAGGGUGCAAGCGUUGUUCGGAAUUAUUGGGCGUAAAGCGCGUGUAGGCGGUUCGUUAAGUCUGAUGUGAAAGCCCGGGGCUCAACCCCGGAAGUGCAUUGGAAACUGGCGAACUUGAGUACGGGAGAGGAAAGUGGAAUUCCCAGUGUAGAGGUGAAAUUCGUAGAUAUUGGGAGGAACACCAGCGGCGAAGGCGGCUCUCUGGACCGAUACUGACGCUGAGGCGCGAAAGCGUGGGGAGCAAACAGGAUUAGAUA